Molecule: ribosomal RNA, 291 nt
Filed under: uncultured bacterium
Lineage: Bacteria
Description: partial 16S ribosomal RNA
Rfam family: Bacterial small subunit ribosomal RNA
Source: RNAcentral
UUUUCCUACGGGACGCAGCAGUAGGGAAUCUUCCACAAUGGGCGAAAGCCUGAUGGAGCAACGCCGCGUGGGUGAAGAAGGUCUUCGGAUCGUAAAACCCUGUUGUUAGAGAAGAAAGUGCGUGAGAGUAACUGUUCACGUUUCGACGGUAUCUAACCAGAAAGCCACGGCUAACUACGUGCCAGCAGCCGCGGUAAUACGGAGGUGGCAAGCGUUAUCCGGAUUUAUUGGGCGUAAAGGGAACGAAGUCGGGCUUUUAAGUCUUAUGUGAAAGCCUUCGGCUUAACCGGA